UGGGGAAUCUUGGACAAUGGGGGCAACCCUGAUCCAGCCAUGCCGCGUGAGUGAUGAAGGCCUUAGGGUCGUAAAGCUCUUUCGCCUGUGAAGAUAAUGACGGUAGCAGGUAAAGAAACCCCGGCUAACUCCGUGCCAGCAGCCGCGGUAAUACGGAGGGGGUUAGCGUUGUUCGGAAUUACUGGGCGUAAAGCGCACGUAGGCGGACCAGAAAGUUGGGGGUGAAAUCCCGGGGGCUCAACCCCGGAACUGCCUCCAAAACUAUUGGUCUAGAGUUCGAGAGAGGUGAGUGGAAUUCCAAGUGUAGAGGUGAAAUUCGUAGAUAUUUGGAGGAACACCAGUGGCGAAGGCGGCUCACUGGCUCGAUACUGACGCUGAGGUGCGAAAGUGUGGGGAGCAAACAGGAUUAGAUACCCUGGUAGUCCACACCGUAAACGAUGAAUGCCAGUCGUCGGGUAGCAUGCUAUUCGGUGACACACCU
Molecule: ribosomal RNA, 481 nt
Filed under: uncultured bacterium
Lineage: Bacteria
Description: bacterial SSU rRNA
Rfam family: Bacterial small subunit ribosomal RNA
Source: RNAcentral